This 240-nucleotide long non-coding RNA is filed under the name Elaeis guineensis (African oil palm). RNAcentral describes it as "long non-coding RNA (EGUI_LNC049837)". Lineage: Eukaryota; Viridiplantae; Streptophyta; Magnoliopsida; Arecales; Arecaceae. The record is from RNAcentral.
AACUCUAAUGAAUUGCAGGUCAAAGAAAAAUAGUCUUAGAGUUUUGGUGCAGGAUGCUGGUCUAGGACUCUAGUAGACCCAUUGAGAUCAGAUGAAGAGGAUGGGUCAGAAAUGAGAGGGUGAAGCAAGUUUCGAGUGGGAGGGGAAAAUCUGGAAGGCAACUCAGGAGAAUGUCAAUGGCAUACGAGAGCUAGAGAGCUAAGACGUUGACACACCUAAGCAGGAGGCUGUCGUCGCACA